GUUGCGCUACCUAUUGGCAAAAGCCUGAAAAUAGGCCGAGGAACCAGCCCACAUCCUGAGUACAGGGAGUUGGUUGUUAUAAGAAGAGGUAGGACAAGGGUUGAAUUUUACCGGUUGUUUAGACUGUAUUUCUGGUUCUUUUAAUUUCGAACACCGGUGAUAACCAUGUCUCACACCGUAACAGUUACUCGCACCACCACCACUGCUGGAACUUCGUCUGGUAUUAUUAUCCACUCAGGAUAUCUCCGGACGUUUCCUGGAAUCUUGCAACUCCUGGAGACAGUAAGUUUUGAAUUUUGGGUACUUAAGCCUUUUUUUUGGGUUGUAAUAUGAUAUUAAGGAAGU
Long non-coding RNA from Limulus polyphemus (Atlantic horseshoe crab), 345 nucleotides. RefSeq lists it as uncharacterized. The transcript has 3 exons. NCBI's taxonomy places the organism in Eukaryota, Metazoa, Arthropoda, Merostomata, Xiphosura, Limulidae. The record is from RefSeq and is a predicted model, not a curated record.